CUGGUGCACGUACGUAGCAGCGGGUUUUCGGCCGAAGAUGGCCGAAGAUGGCCGACGCGGCAGGUUUGGUGUGUCCCACCGCUCUCUGUCCGUCGUGUAAGCUAGCAGGCUGAAAAUGUAUGUAAUUUGUCUUAACGGCAAAAAAUAUUGUUCCGUGUUGAUGUAGGUUCGUCUGGCAUUUUACUUUUGUUUAAAAAAGAAAGAAAGAAAGAAAGAAAGAAAGAAAGAAAGAAAGAAAGAAAGAAAGAAAGAAAGAAAGAAAAUUUACCGUAGACAAAGGCUUAACUUCCUUUGCCUGCUACAAGAGGCUAAUGGAGAGAACAUCGAUUGUCUGUUGAUCGUCCCCCUUUGUUGAUUUUUACAGAGAAGCUUUUCACACUGCUACUGGAGGCUAAUGGAGAGAGCAGUGAUGGUGUUUCCAACCCAGGAAUGUGAAAUGGGCGAGAACAAGAGAGAAACGACGCCUCGUCCCACUCUCAGUACACUUAUACCCUGCUGCUUGCUGCCAAACCACCCAAGCCACAGCUGAUGAUGUCACCCAGCACCGGACUGGCCUCGGGAUCGCAGCUUAAUCUGAUAUCAUUGGCAGAGAGACACGCCAUCUCCAGCUAUCCAACAUCGCUGUCUUGCCUCGGCCUGCGCGGCUCCUAGGACUCUGCUCAUAAAGUUAAACCUCCCCCGGUUCACACGUUUGAUGUCUGUAGAGCCACGUUUAUAGAGCACGGCUGCACGGUGGUAACACUGAAACCAUCUAGAAACAAAGAACGAGCCACAAAAUCACGUCAGCACACGAGGCGGAGGUGAAGCCCAUUUAGUUUUACGUUGAGCAGAGUGAAUUCAAGCUGUGGUCUGGCUGCUGAACUAUGUUGGAAGUGGAGGAAAUGAGCAAUGAUUCUCUGGUUUUCGGCUGCAACCUGAAAAAACACAUUGAAAAUAAUAAAUAAUGCAGAGCCAAGAUGCUAUGCAGCGAUUUAUGCGGCGGCCCACUUUAUUUCAGCAUUCAGAUGGACGUAUUAAAAUCCAAACACGUGAUCACUGCUGAAUAUUUAUCGCUCAGACUCAGGCCUGUGACCUUGGCUUGGCAGAGAGCUCACAUCAUUUCAUCUUGAAAUAAAAAGAGACUGCCAGCAAUUAUGGCACGUUAAUUACAUAUUCACUUUCAUCUGUUGGAAAUCACAUAGAUCUGCCCUCAGUAAUGCUGUUGGCUGCCGUUUGAUGGAGGGGUGGGGGUCUAUCAGUUGCCCUGCGCUGCCCAUGUUUAAUCUUUGGGAGACAAGAGGAAAAAUGACUUGAAGUUGGUACAAGCAUAACUGGAGGAAGCGCUGUGGAGGUGUGGAUGAAGCACUCACAGUCGCUUCUUGUUGACCUGGAGUCUGUUUCGCACUCUGAUUCUGUAUGGCCAAGGAGAACUCUACCUCCUUCCACCCCUUGUCUCUUGGGGCAGAGAGUGAUGCUAAUUAUGCUGUCAUGUUCCAUUGGAGGGCCGCGAUGAAGAACAGGCAUAUGGAGGAGUCGAUCUGCUGAAGAACAAAAAAAGAGCAAAUGAAUGAGCACUAAGUCACCUGAAGGCAACCGAGGAGCAUCUGAUUACCAGCUGAUCUGGAGUUGUCCAGGUUCUACUCUGGUCUGGGUCAUCCUGGCUAUCAGAAGCAGUGCCCCCCCCCCCCCCCGAUUCGCCAACCCUCAGCCUGGUCUGGCUAGAGGUUUGCUGGGUUUCCCCUUUUUAUAAAACUUUCUGGUCUAUGACCUUGUCUUCUUCUGUAAUUUGUCUUGAAAUUGAAUUGAAUUGAAAGUCAAAGUGUGUGUUGAACCAAGCACUGUUCCUGAUCUACACACGUGCAGCGGAGCAGAGACGAUGCUCAGGUGAUGCAGUUUUACCAGGGCACAGACUGCGACAGUCGUAACGGACACUUUUCACGUCCACACACACGUUGUCAAUGAAUGUAAACCCCCGGGGGAAAUCGAACAGCUGCAGGCUUGUUAGACGCUGAAACCUACAUGCUGUUACACAGAACCGCAGCACUUCGCUACUGUCUGCAGUUAUGGGCAGUAAGUCAGGAAAAACAAACACAGUUGUGCUGCCUGGUUGUCGGCAGGAGAAAUGAUCUCUCCACAAUCCUCUGAGGAGAAAGAGCUGAGUGUGUGUGUGGACGACUGGAGAUGAGAAACAUGAGGAUUCAAUAAGCAGGAGUUCAAUCAACUGUUGAGAACAAAGUGUUACAAAAUAAAACAAAUGCAUACCACCAUUUACAUUAUAUGAUUAAUAAUUAGAUUUAUGUAAAGAGUCGCUUUGUCUUGUUUGGCAUAGAUUGGACUGUUGUGUUAUUUAUACAGAAAAUUAUUUAAAGAUCUUAGAUCUAAUGUCAGGGUCUAAUUAGGAACCAAAACAAACCCAAGGCCAUAAACCUUUACUCAUGAAAGAAGCUCUAGUAAGUUUCCGCAGCCGAGCCUGUAGAAUCUGUAGAGCAGCUGAUGUGAUCGGUCUGUGGUUACUUUCAGGUCAGACAAACUGUGACUGGUUAUUAAGUAUGUUAACGGUACAAAGCCGGUGUAUUUCUACAGUUUUACGUAUUCUCACUUUUCCCGUUCUCAAGCAGCAGAAGCAGCCUAUUGAUGCAGCACAUUUCAGUUUCCAGGUUUCAUUCAUUGGUUCUGGUCUUCCACCAGCUCAUGAAACCUUCCACCUGAAAACAGCUGUUUUAAUUUGAACCUCCAGUCUCCUGCUGUUGAGGGUGCGGUCAGGCAACAAUUGACAAUUUAUCUCCUCUUCAUCGCAGCGACAGGUCAGAGACAAGCUGAACACAUCUGGUGACAGUAGAAUAUUCACUGUGACACACACUGUUCUCUGGAGGUGUGUGUGUUCAUUCAGCCCCACUCAGGCCUCUAAUGGCUCCUGCUGCGAAGCACAAUUACUGCUUUUAUGCUGCGAGGUCACAGAGCAGGAACAUAAUGUGGCAGCAAAGUGGGAGGUGGAGGCCAGUGGUUGGGUUUGAUCUGGUCUCAUCUCGCUAUAAUUACUAAUGAUGAUUCCUUGUGCUGUAGCUCACCUGUUUA
Molecule: long non-coding RNA, 3054 nt
Organism: Betta splendens (Siamese fighting fish)
Lineage: Eukaryota; Metazoa; Chordata; Actinopteri; Anabantiformes; Osphronemidae
Exons: 3
Source: RefSeq, a predicted model, not a curated record